CGCCCCCCCCCCCCCCCCCCCCGGGGAGGACUGCCCGAGCCGGCCGCCCGCACCCUGACCCCGGGCCGGCGGCCUUGACCUCACUGCCCACCUGCGCGACCCACCGGCCUUCCUCCCACCUGGCUGCCUUCUCCCCACUCGGGGCCACUCGACACUCGUCCCCUCGUCCCGGCGCCGACCUCCCUGAAAUACAGUCGUUUCACCACCGCUCCUUGCCUGCGGGUGCCGCCCGCAGCCAGUGCCCGAGCCUGGCCUGUGGGACUCGGGGGCGCCAGGGAAAUCCGCUGAGGUGCCCCACGCCCAGGGGCUGGGGGGCCUGCCGGCCUCUCCUCUGGGGGGGCUCGAGGUGUACACGCGAGCUGCAGCCUCGCCCCCACAGAAAGCAGCAGGGCCAGGCCGCGGAAAGCACAUGGAACGGUUAGGGGCUGGCGCCGUUGCGCUCUGUCCGACCUCACCCGACCUCACCCGCGAGCCUGGAACAGCAGGCGGCCUCUGUGCUUCCUCCUUGGGACCCACUUUCCCACUUUGAACAUAGUCCCCACGCGCCUGCCUCCUGUCAGCGUUGGUCGUGGGGCCCCGGCUGGAGAGCAGCUGCGGCGCCGAGACACACAGGAGGCGAACAAGGGCCCGGUGCACGCAGGCCUCCUGGGCCCUUCUGUGGCUAAAACCCUGGAAGUCCCAGCAAGCCUGAGCAGGGGACAAGCAGUGAGCCACCUGUCACCAGAGAUGCCAGAUUUUAUUUUUCUAUUCAUGAGAG
Molecule: long non-coding RNA, 757 nt
Filed under: Vulpes vulpes (red fox)
Lineage: Eukaryota; Metazoa; Chordata; Mammalia; Carnivora; Canidae
Description: lncRNA (ENSVVUG00000002272.1)
Source: RNAcentral